ACGGAGGGUGCAAGCGUUAAUCGGAAUUACUGGGCGUAAAGCGCGCGUAGGCGGUUGGUUAAGUUGGAUGUGAAAGCCCUGGGCUCAACCUAGGAACUGCAUACAAAACUGGCCAACUAGAGUACAGCAGAGGCAAGUGGAAUUUCCAGUGUAGCGGUGAAAUGCGUAGAGAUUGGAAGGAACACCAGUGGCGAAGGCGACUUGCUGGGCUGAUACUGACGCUGAGGUGCGAAAGCGUGGGGAGCAAACAGG
Molecule: ribosomal RNA, 252 nt
Filed under: uncultured bacterium
Lineage: Bacteria
Description: partial 16S ribosomal RNA
Rfam family: Bacterial small subunit ribosomal RNA
Source: RNAcentral